UCGGUGAGAGGAGUGGGACUACACUUCCCAGUGGCCUUUGUGGGAGCAGACUUCCCCUUCGGUCGGUGAGAGGAGCGGAACUACACUUCCCAGGGGGGUUGCGGAGCUCGCUGGGCGCGUGGAACCAGUCGGCGGCUGGUUUCAAGUCCCAGGAUGAUUCACGAGCUGCUCUUGGCGCUGAGCGGGUAUCCCGGGGCCGCGUUCACCUGGAGCAAGAGGAGCGGCCUCCAGGUGUCCCAGGAGCUGCCGUUCCUGCACCCCAGCGAGAGCAGCGUCCUCAAUCGGCUCUGCCGCCUCGGCACCGACUACAUUCGCUUCACCGAGUUCAUCGAGCAGUACACGGGCCACGUGCAACAGCAGGAUCAUCACCCUUCCCAGCAGAACCAAUGUGGGUUACAUGGGAUUUACUUGCGGGCCUUCUGUACAGGGCUCGAUUCAGUGCUGCAGCCCUACCGACAGGCGUUGCUUGACCUGGAGCAGGAGUUCCUGGCUGACCCUCACCUCUCCAUCUCCCACAUUAACUACUCCCUGGAUCAGUUCCAACUCCUCUUCCCCUCGGUGAUGGUUGUGGUGGAGCAGAUCAAGACCCAGAAGAUUCAUGGCUGUCAACUCCUGGAGACUGUCCAUAAACACAGCUGUGGGGGGCUGCCCCCUGUGCGUAGUGCACUGGAAAAGAUCCUGGCUGUAUGUCAUGGAGUCAUGUAUAAGCAGCUCUCUGCCUGGAUGCUGCAUGGACUGCUCCUGGACCAACAUGAAGAGUUCUUUGUUAAACAAGGCCCAUCUUCUGGGAAUGUCCCUGCCCAGCCUGAAGAAGAGGAUGAUGACCUGGGAAUUGGGGGACUAACAGGAAAACAGUUGCGAGAGCUGCAGGACCUGCGCCUGAUUGAGGAGGAGAACAUGUUAGCACCAUCUCUGAAACAGUUUUCUCUGCGAGUGGAAAUGUUACCAUCGUACAUCCCUGUCCGGGUUGCUGAGAAAAUCCUCUUUGUGGGAGAAUCAGUACAGAUGUUUGAGAAUCAAAAUGUGAACCUGACCAGAAAAGGCUCCAUCUUGAAAAACCAGGAAGACACUUUUGCUGCAGAGCUACACCGCCUCAAGCAGCAGCCACUCUUUAGUCUGGUGGACUUUGAGGCUGUGGUUGACUGGAUUCGGAGCACGGUUGCUGAGCACCUAUGGAAACUGAUGGUAGAAGAAUCAGAUUUACUAGGACAACUAAAGAUUAUUAAGGAUUUUUAUCUAUUGGGGAGAGGAGAAUUGUUCCAGGCCUUCAUAGACACUGCACAGCACAUGUUAAAAACCCCACCCACAGCUGUAACGGAACAUGAUGUCAAUGUUGCGUUCCAGCAGUCUGCUCACAAGGUGUUGCUAGAUGAUGAUAACCUCCUUCCUUUGCUCCACCUUACCAUUGAGUAUCAUGGAAAGGAGCAUAAAGAUGCUUCUCAGGCUCGUGAAGGGCCUUCCCGGGAGUUAUCUCCCCGUGAAGCCCCCACAUCUGGUUGGGCAGCUCUGGGGCUCUCUUAUAAAGUGCAGUGGCCAUUGCACAUCCUCUUCACUCCUGCUGUCUUGGAGAAAUACAACGUUGUAUUCAAAUACUUGCUGAGUGUGCGGCGGGUCCAGGCUGAGCUGCAGCACUGCUGGGCUCUCCAGAUGCAGCGCAAGCACCUGAAGUCCAACAGAACUGAUGCAAUCAAGUGGCGUCUGAGGGAUCACAUGGCCUUCCUUGUGGAUAAUCUUCAGUACUAUCUGCAGGUGGAUGUGCUGGAGUCUCAGUUCUCACAGCUUCUGCUGCAGAUAAACUCCACUCGGGAUUUUGAGAGCAUCCGGUUGGCUCAUGAUCACUUCUUAAGUAACCUGUUGGCUCAAUCCUUCAUCCUGCUCAAACCUGUUUUCCAUUGCCUGAAUGAAAUCCUGGAUCUCUGUCACAGUUUCUGUUCUCUGGUCAGUCAGAAUUUGGGCCCAUUGGAUGAGCGUGGAGCUGCACAGCUGAGCAUCCUGGUAAAGGGCUUCAGCCGUCAGUCCUCGCUCCUCUUCAAGAUUCUCUCCAGCGUUCGCAACCACCAGAUAAACUCUGACUUGGCUCAGCUGCUGCUCCGCCUGGACUACAACAAAUACUACACCCAGGCUGGCGGGACCUUGGGCAGUUUUGGGGUUUGAGCACUGAGACCGGUUUUUCUGGCUGAGAACUAGUGCGCAGCAAGGACAACAACUGCUGCUGCACCUUCUGCCAGCUAUGGACUAUGAGGUCUUGAUAUGAGUGCAGCCGGCUAAGGCCUGUGUGUCACUGUGUGGUAACUGCUUGCUUGUGUGAUGGGGGCCAGAUGCUGUACUGUUCCUGCAGGGGAAAGGGCUUGCCUCAUACCUGGAAUCUUAAAAGUAGGGCUGUCAAUCACACUUAACACCUGUGAUUAACUGAAAACAAAAUUAAUGUGUUAAUCACAUACCUCUACCCAGAGAGGGAGGCAUGGACAGGAGGUGGCUACAGCCCCAGUCCAGAGCCUAUAUUUGAAAAUAUAGAAAACAUCCAAAAAUAUUUUAAUAAAUUGUAUUCUAUUUAA
Chrysemys picta bellii (western painted turtle) is the source of this 2555-nucleotide RNA transcript. It is a transcript of the gene named tubulin gamma complex component 4, with no coding region annotated. NCBI's taxonomy places the organism in Eukaryota, Metazoa, Chordata, Testudines, Emydidae. The record is from RefSeq and is a predicted model, not a curated record.